This 119-nucleotide ribosomal RNA is filed under the name Notamacropus eugenii (tammar wallaby). Lineage: Eukaryota; Metazoa; Chordata; Mammalia; Diprotodontia; Macropodidae. The record is from RNAcentral.
GGGCACGGCCAUACCACCCUGAACGUGCCUGAUCUUGUCUGAUCUCGGAAGCUAAGCAGGGUUGGGCCUGGUUAGUACUUGGAUGGGAGACCGCCUGGGAAUACCAGGUGCUGUAUUUA